CCAGACUCCUACGGGAGGCAGCAGUGAGGAAUAUUGGUCAAUGGGCGGGAGCCUGAACCAGCCAAGCCGCGUGAGGGAAGAAGGUACAGCGUAUCGUAAACCUCUUUUGUCAGGGAACAAAGGCGGGGACUAGUCCCCGGAUGAGGGUACCUGAAGAAAAAGCAUCGGCUAACUCCGUGCCAGCAGCCGCGGUAACACGGAGGAUGCGAGCGUUAUCCGGAUUUAUUGGGUUUAAAGGGUGCGCAGGCGGAGGCACAAGUCAGGGGUAAAAUCGCGGGGCUCAACCCCGCUCCGCCGUUGAAACUGUGUCCCUUGAGUGCGCGAAGGGUAGGCGGAAUGCGUGGUGUAGCGGUGAAAUGCAUAGAUAUCACGCAGAACUCCGAUUGCGAAGGCAGCAUACCGGCGCGCAACUGACGCUCAUGCACGAAAGCGUGGGUAUCGAACAGGAUUAGAUACCCGAGUAGU
This 465-nucleotide ribosomal RNA is filed under the name uncultured bacterium. RNAcentral's name for it is "bacterial SSU rRNA". It matches the Rfam family "Bacterial small subunit ribosomal RNA", at positions 331 to 794 of the family's 1533-position model. The record is from RNAcentral.